Molecule: ribosomal RNA, 279 nt
Filed under: uncultured bacterium
Lineage: Bacteria
Description: partial 16S ribosomal RNA
Rfam family: Bacterial small subunit ribosomal RNA
Source: RNAcentral
UGCCAGCAGCCGCGGUAAUACGGAGGGGGCUAGCGUUGUUCGGAAUUACUGGGCGUAAAGCGUGCGUAGGCGGAUCGACAAGUUGGGGGUGAAAUCCCGGGGCUCAACCCCGGAACUGCCUUGUAAACUCCUGGUCUUGAGUUCGAGAGAGGUGAGUGGAAUUCCGAGUGUAGAGGUGAAAUUCGUAGAUAUUCGGAGGAACACCAGUGGCGAAGGCGGCUCACUGGCUCGAUACUGACGCUGAGGUACGAAAGUGUGGGGAGCAAACAGGAUUAGAUA